GACGAACGCUGGCGGCGUGCUUAACACAUGCAAGUCGAGCGGUAAGGCCCUUUCGGGGUACGACGAGCGGCGAACGGGUGAGUAACACGUGGGUGACCUGCCCUCAGCUCUGGGCGUAAGCCUGGGAAACUGGGUCGUAAUACCGGAUAUGACUCCAUGACGCAUGUUGUGGGGUGGAAAGCCUUGUGCGGCUGAGGAUGGGCCCGCGGCCUAUCAGCUUGUUGGUGGGGUGAUGGCCUACCAAGGCGACGACGGGUAGCCGGCCUGAGAGGGCGACCGGCCACACUGGGACUGAGACACGGCCCAGACUCCUACGGGAGGCAGCAGUGGGGAAUCUUGCGCAAUGGGCGAAAGCCUGACGCAGUGACGCCGCGUGAGGGAUGACGGCC
RNAcentral lists this ribosomal RNA (389 nucleotides) under uncultured bacterium. RNAcentral describes it as "bacterial SSU rRNA". It matches the Rfam family "Bacterial small subunit ribosomal RNA", at positions 28 to 416 of the family's 1533-position model. The record is from RNAcentral.